CGGGGGCUGCAGUAGGGAAUUUUCGUCAAUGGGCGCAAGCCUGAACGAGCAAUGCCGCGUGAACGAGGAAGGUCUUCGGAUCGUAAAGUUCUGUUGAAGGGGAAAAAGAGCGGAGAGAGGAAAUGAACUCCGAAGGAUAUUACCCUUCGAGGAAGUCACGGCUAACUACUUGCAAGCAGCCGAGGUAAUACGUAGGUGGCGAGCGUUAACCGGAUUGAUGGGGCGGAAGGGGGGCGUAGGCGGCCUGCGAAGUCUGGAGUGAAAGGUACCGGUCAAACCGGUACAGGCUCUGGGAACUGGCGGGCUAGAGGGCAGGAGAGGGCGGUGGAACUCCAUGUGUAGCGGUAAAAUGCGUAGAUAUAUGGAAGAACACCAGUGGCGAAGGCGGCCGCCUGGCCUGUUGACUGACGCUGAGGCACGAAAGCGUGGGGAGCAAAUAGGAUUAGAUACCCCUGUAGUC
RNAcentral lists this ribosomal RNA (460 nucleotides) under uncultured bacterium. RNAcentral describes it as "partial 16S ribosomal RNA". It matches the Rfam family "Bacterial small subunit ribosomal RNA", at positions 343 to 795 of the family's 1533-position model. The record is from RNAcentral.